GCUGAUUUAUUACGAUUUUACAAUUAUGAUAUAGGAAAUAUUACAUAGACGAUUCGACAACCGACAAUACUACCUGCCUUAUGAAGACCUACGCCUAACUGCAUCAUCUGAGCCGUCCUAUGAAGAUCCACACCUGGCCAAAUUUUACUUGCACCAUGUUGAAGAUCCCUUGCAAGCUUUUUUUCUGUAAUCUGCAUAAUUGUUUAAUAAACCGUUCUCUCCGGGACUUGAAACCUGGAUUUCCUGUAAUCUGCAAUAAAUUGCAUAGUCUGGGAUUCGAACCCCAGACAUCGAUGUAGAAGCCUUUAAAC
RNAcentral lists this long non-coding RNA (311 nucleotides) under Brassica rapa (field mustard). Its description in RNAcentral is "long non-coding RNA (BRAP_LNC001124)". The record is from RNAcentral. Lineage: Eukaryota; Viridiplantae; Streptophyta; Magnoliopsida; Brassicales; Brassicaceae.